UUUUGCCUGCGGAAUUCGUGAUAUGAUUUGCAAAAAGCCAUAAGAAUAAUAGGGAGUCGGGCCAUGGGUGGCGUGCGUGCCGGCCAGUUCCGGAUACAUAAAGCCCAUCAGGUAGAUUCCCAUCUAUGCAUACUUGGCUUUGUAUAGUCAAGCAUACACGGUUCACGCGGGCUUUAA
RNAcentral lists this small RNA (177 nucleotides) under Candidatus Cloacimonadota bacterium. Its description in RNAcentral is "6S RNA". It matches the Rfam family "6S / SsrS RNA". From Rfam's summary of the family: E. coli 6S RNA was the first non coding RNA to be sequenced, but its function was unknown until recently. It consists of 184 nucleotides that fold into an extended hairpin structure with a large single-stranded internal bulge. The 6S RNA specifically associates with RNA polymerase holoenzyme containing the sigma70 specificity factor. Lineage: Bacteria; Pseudomonadati; Candidatus Cloacimonadota. The record is from RNAcentral.